CUACGGGGCGCACCAGUGGGGAAUAUUGCACAAUGGGCGCAAGCCUGAUGCAGCCAUGCCGCGUGUAUGAAGAAGGCCUUCGGGUUGUAAAGUACUUUCAGCGGGGAGGAAGGGAGUAAAGUUAAUACCUUUGCUCAUUGACGUUACCCGCAGGAGGAGCACCGGCUAACUCCGUGCCAGCAGCCGCGGUAAUACGGAGGGUGCAAGCGUUAAUCGGAAUUACUGGGCGUAAAGCGCACGCAGGCGGUUUGUUAAGUCAGAUGUGAAAUCCCCGGGCUCAACCUGGGAACUGCAUCUGAUACUGGCAAGCUUGAGUCUCGUAGAGGGGGGUAGAAUUCCAGGUGUAGCGGUGAAAUGCGUAGAGAUCUGGAGGAACACCGGUGGCGAAGGCGGCCCCCUGGACGAAGACUGACGCUCAGGUGCGAAAGCGUGGGGAGCAAACAGGAUUAGAUACCCUUGUAGUC
RNAcentral lists this ribosomal RNA (464 nucleotides) under uncultured bacterium. RNAcentral's name for it is "partial 16S ribosomal RNA". It matches the Rfam family "Bacterial small subunit ribosomal RNA", at positions 339 to 795 of the family's 1533-position model. The record is from RNAcentral.